UACGUAGGGGGCUAGCGUUGUCCGGAAUCAUUGGGCGUAAAGCGCGUGUAGGCGGUUUGGUAAGUCCGCUGUAAAAGUCAAAGGCUCAACCUUUGAAUGUCAGUGGAUACUGCCGGGCUAGAGUCCGGAAGAGGCGAGUGGAACUCCUGGUGUAGCGGUGGAAUGCGCAGAUAUCAGGAAGAACACCAACGGCGAAGGCAGCUCGCUGGGACGGUACUGACGCUGAGACGCGAAAGCGUGGGGAGCGAACAGG
This 253-nucleotide ribosomal RNA is filed under the name uncultured bacterium. RNAcentral describes it as "partial 16S ribosomal RNA". It matches the Rfam family "Bacterial small subunit ribosomal RNA", at positions 524 to 776 of the family's 1533-position model. The record is from RNAcentral.